GACCUGAGCUCAUGGC
RNAcentral lists this ribosomal RNA (16 nucleotides) under Monactinus sturmii. RNAcentral describes it as "partial 28S ribosomal RNA". The record is from RNAcentral. Lineage: Eukaryota; Viridiplantae; Chlorophyta; Chlorophyceae; Sphaeropleales; Hydrodictyaceae.